AGAAAAGCAAGUCUUGCUUGCACGGAAACGCAAGGUGAUAGCCCCUUCGAGGCUUGAUAGACAUGAGGUAAUGGGGAAUUGUACUUCAUUAGAAUGUAAAACGUUUACAUGGAUCCACCUCGUUAAAAACCUUGCCUCCAACAUGGAGCCUCCCUAGCAAGGAAAAGAGUACGGUCCGUUUGCAAGAAAGUAAAUGUUAGAAAGUAAAUUUUCUGCCCUCGACGUUAUUUAUAGAUUCACAGGUCAAAGGCUUUUACAAGUGUGGCGACUAUGGGUAAUAUUUGUGCAAGUUAUCCACGUUCCAAGAAUGUGGUCACUCUGCUCCAAGCUGAUCUACGAGGUAAAAUAAUUCUGACCUGUUGCUUCAAGUGACAACAUAUGGCCCUUCCCAAGUUUCUUGUAACUUCCCAAGGUUCUCCCAGUUCUUUUUCUUUUUGAUAACUAGAUCUCCCACCUUGAUUUCUUUUUUCACUACUUUUCUAUCCCUCC
This 489-nucleotide long non-coding RNA is filed under the name Setaria viridis. Its description in RNAcentral is "long non-coding RNA (SVIR_LNC004897)". The record is from RNAcentral. Lineage: Eukaryota; Viridiplantae; Streptophyta; Magnoliopsida; Poales; Poaceae.